UUUGGUACCCUCGCUGCGAAGGCACGACAUUGCUCACAUUGCUUCCAAGUAUUACUUAGCCAGCUCGGGUGCUGGCUUUUUUUU
Molecule: non-coding RNA, 84 nt
Filed under: Serratia proteamaculans
Lineage: Bacteria; Pseudomonadati; Pseudomonadota; Gammaproteobacteria; Enterobacterales; Yersiniaceae
Source: RNAcentral